RNAcentral lists this transfer RNA (77 nucleotides) under Methanobacteriota archaeon. RNAcentral's name for it is "Euryarchaeota archaeon tRNA-Cys". It matches the Rfam family "tRNA". From Rfam's summary of the family: Transfer RNA (tRNA) molecules are approximately 80 nucleotides in length. Their secondary structure includes four short double-helical elements and three loops (D, anti-codon, and T loops). Lineage: Archaea; Methanobacteriati; Methanobacteriota. RNAcentral also lists the same sequence under 2 other names. The record is from RNAcentral.
GCACAGGUAGCAAAGCCCGGUUACGCGUACGACUGCAGAUCGUAUUUACGUGGGUUCGAAUCCCACCCUGUGCUCCA